Molecule: ribosomal RNA, 574 nt
Filed under: Escherichia coli
Lineage: Bacteria; Pseudomonadati; Pseudomonadota; Gammaproteobacteria; Enterobacterales; Enterobacteriaceae
Description: bacterial SSU rRNA
Rfam family: Bacterial small subunit ribosomal RNA
Source: RNAcentral
UUAAAUUGAAGAGUUUGAUCAUGGCUCAGAUUGAACGCUGGCGGCAGGCCUAACACAUGCAAGUCGAACGGUAACAGAAAGAAGCUUGCUUCUUUGCUGACGAGUGGCGGACGGGUGAGUAAUGUCUGGGAAACUGCCUGAUGGAGGGGGAUAACUACUGGAAACGGUAGCUAAUACCGCAUAACGUCGCAAGACCAAAGAGGGGGACCUUCGGGCCUCUUGCCAUCGGAUGUGCCCAGAUGGGAUUAGCUAGUAGGUGGGGUAACGGCUCACCUAGGCGACGAUCCCUAGCUGGUCUGAGAGGAUGACCAGCCACACUGGAACUGAGACACGGUCCAGACUCCUACGGGAGGCAGCAGUGGGGAAUAUUGCACAAUGGGCGCAAGCCUGAUGCAGCCAUGCCGCGUGUAUGAAGAAGGCCUUCGGGUUGUAAAGUACUUUCAGCGGGGAGGAAGGGAGUAAAGUUAAUACCUUUGCUCAUUGACGUUACCCGCAGAAGAAGCACCGGCUAACUCCGUGCCAGCAGCCGCGGUAAUACGGAGGGUGCAAGCGUUAAUCGGAAUUACUGGGCGUA